GACGAACGCUGGCGGCGUGCUUAACACAUGCAAGUCGAACGGAAAGGCGCUGCUUUUGUGCGGUGCUCGUGUGGCGAGCGGGUGAGUAACACGUGUGUAUCCUGCCCUUGACUUUGUGAUAACUUCUGGAAACUGGGGCGCAUACCGGAGAGGAGCUCCUGCUGCAUGGUGGUGGUUGGUAAGUUUCGGCGUUUGUGGCUGGUCUCGCUGGUUAUCAGCUUGUUGGUGGGGUAGUUGCUUACCAAGGCUUUGACGGGUAGCCGGCCUUGGAGGGUGGCCGGGCACCAUGGUACUGCGAGAGGGCGCAGACGGGUACGGGAGGCAGCAGGGGAGAAUAUGGCAGAAUGGGGGGAAGCCUGAUGCAGCAACGCCGCGUGCGGGAUGACGGGCUUCGGGUUGUAAACCGAUUUCGACUGAGACGAAGCGGGAGUGACGGUAAUGGGUAAAGAAGCACCGGCUAACUACGUG
Molecule: ribosomal RNA, 468 nt
Filed under: uncultured bacterium
Lineage: Bacteria
Description: partial 16S ribosomal RNA
Rfam family: Bacterial small subunit ribosomal RNA
Source: RNAcentral